GCGGCCCGGAAAACUGACGGAAUAGAUGGACACUGAUGAACUUGAUUAAUGAUGAUAAAUGAUGGUUUAUUAUGUUGUUUAUAUGUGUUAUUCAUAAUUCCUGUAUACAAUUGAUCAUGUGGUUAUGGGAUUAAUUAUGCUACCUUGACAUUUGCUAUCCAAUGAUUAAACAUGCUAUCAACUAUUAAAAGCUAAAUGCAGUCAAACCAGUGUCAGCUAUUUGAGCCUCAUGAACCCCUGGUUAUACUUGUUGAGUACGAUAUGUGCUCACUCUUGCAAUUUCCCCCCACACCUCAGGAGAAGUUUUGGGCUUGUGAUCAACCAGUCAGUUGGAUCCUGUGGAGAGGAGUUAAUACCCGAAGUUUAAAAUUGUCUAUCCGCUGUUUGCUAUUAAAGGUUAUCUCUUUAAUAUUAUGUACGUUAUAUAUUUAUGCAUUGUUCUUUGAUAUUAACCCUUAUUUGUAGCUAUAUGUGAGAUUUGACUUCUAAAACUCACAUAUGGUGCAUAUCUGGUUUUGUCCUUAAAAUCGGGUAUUACAGAUCUUGUCACCGGUCUUACCAAAAGCAGCUACUACCCUUCGUUGUUCCCUAUAUGCGG
RNAcentral lists this long non-coding RNA (598 nucleotides) under Sorghum bicolor (sorghum). RNAcentral describes it as "long non-coding RNA (SBIC_LNC007516)". The record is from RNAcentral. Lineage: Eukaryota; Viridiplantae; Streptophyta; Magnoliopsida; Poales; Poaceae.